Long non-coding RNA from Gasterosteus aculeatus aculeatus (three-spined stickleback), 754 nucleotides. The record is from Ensembl. NCBI's taxonomy places the organism in Eukaryota, Metazoa, Chordata, Actinopteri, Perciformes, Gasterosteidae.
UUUCACUCCUCCAUUCAUGUCUGAAUUAUGGAUAAGUUACAAAUCCGAUGUCAAUACCAUUUAAAGUAGUUUUGAGAAACAUAAUUAACUAACGUUAAGGUUAAUUAACUAUGUUUCCUAUGGUGUUUUGUUUAAAGGCUGAAAGUUUGAACCUUCUUAAUGUCAGUUUGUCAUAUUGUUUUCUCUCUCAGACAACAGAGCAUCCUCCUUAUCUGCAUUGUGUUUGACCAAAACGGCUGGUGACUCUAAAGUGCAAGUUCACACAUCAAUUCAGAUAUUGCUCCUGCCAGUGUUGGUGACUUCUUGGAUAUUUGACAGUGUCCUGCUAUCCAGCAUCUCUCCUCCUCUAUCCCAUUGGCUCUUUGUCUAUCCUAUACCUUGUAUCCACUCUGUCUACAAUUUGAUAACUCUAGCUUUCCUGUCAAAUCUACCGCUCUGUCUGCUUUUGGAAACUCUAUCUUUGUAUCCCUCUUCUAUCCCACUCUAUCUGUAUACAGAAGCCUGAAAACCCUGAUAUUCUGAAACCUGAACCCUGAAACCUGAACCUAAGGUUAUUGCAACCUGUCUGAACAGAACUCUGAGAGUAUCUCCACUCUCCCGCUCUCUGUCUCUCCUCUGAACACUCACUCACCCGGGUUAUUGGUACCUGAUCUACCUUUUUGAAUGAUCUGAGAGAUUCUCUUCUCUCACUCUCACCUCUCUCCUAUCAACUCCUAUAUUUAUACAAUACUAUUACUGUUUUUACUAAUUUGAC